GCUUGCUUGCUAGCCAACAUGGAAGAUCUUUCCUAAGAAGAUAGUGUGGUCAAAGUCUGGGGCCUGUUUCAACUCGCUUUCUAGGAGGAUUGCUAAGCCAUACCCAGAACUCCUCACGGGAUAGCUUCCUGUUUCCUGAGAGUCG
This 145-nucleotide long non-coding RNA is filed under the name Bos indicus x Bos taurus (hybrid cattle). Its description in RNAcentral is "lncRNA (ENSBIXG00005024006.1)". The record is from RNAcentral. Lineage: Eukaryota; Metazoa; Chordata; Mammalia; Artiodactyla; Bovidae.